AUGUUCGGGUGGAUGACGCCGCCGCAGCUCAAGGGGAAGGUGGUGCUCAUGCGCAGGAACCUCCUCGACUUGAACCACUGGCAGCAACCCCUCAGCCACGACACCUGGGACGAGGUCACCACCAAAGGCGUCACCUGCCAGCUCAUCAGCUCCACCGUCGCCGACCCCAAUGACGAGAGUGGCACCAGGGGUCUCUUGGGCGAAGAGGAGCGGGUUGAACACUGGGUGCUCCACUUGCCCCCGAUCAACCACGGCGAUACCACCUACGAUGUCACCUUUGACUGGGACGUGAAGAAGCAAGGCAUUCCUGGCGCCGUCAUCGUUCGAAACUACCACGCCACCCAGUUUCUCCUCAAGACCAUCACCAUCGACGACGUCCCCGGCCACGCCGGUCCCAUCGUCUUCGUCGCAAACUCAUGGGUCUACAACACCAACAAGUACCACUACGACCGAGUCUUCUUCACCAACGACACGUACCUGCCAAGCGAGAUGCCGAUGCUGUUGCAGCCGUUCCGGGAGGACGAGCUCCGGAUCCUGCGAGGGGAUGACCCCAGGCAGAAGAACGGCGCCUAUGAGGAGCACGACCGCGUCUACCGCUACGACCUCUACAACGACCUCGGCGAUCCAGACCACAAGAACCCUCGCCCCACCCUCGGCGGCCCCGACAGCUUGUACCCAUACCCGCGCCGAGGCCGCACCGGCAGGAAGCCCAUGGUGACCGACCCCACGUGCGAGAGCAGGAACGUCUUGCCUGUGCUCCAACAGUUCUAUGUCCCCCGCGACGAGAACUUCAACCACGUCAAGAAAGCCGACUUCACGGCCUACCUCAUCAAGGCCAUCUCCGGCGGCAUCCUCCCCCUCCUCCGCCAGCAGUUCGACUCCGUCUCGCCGCGCGAGUUCGACGACUUUGAGGACAUGUACAAGCUCUACGAAGGCGGGCUUAAGAUCCCCGACAUCCCCGCCCUGGACGAGCUGUUCAAAUCGUUCCCGCCGCUGAGGAGCAUCAUGCCGGCCGGCGGGGACUUCCUCCUCAAGAUGCCCAUGCCGCAUGUCAUCAAGGAGGACAAGCUCGCGUGGCGGACGGACGAGGAGUUCGCCCGGGAGAUGCUCGCCGGCCUCAACCCACACAUCAUCACCCGCCUGAACGUGUUCCCUCCAAGGAGCACGCUUGAGGGGUACGGCGACCAGACGAGCAAGAUCACGGUGGAGCACAUCCAACACAACCUCGGCAAGCUCAAUGUUGACAAGGCAAUCGACGCCAAGAGGCUCUUCAUCCUAGACCACCACGACAACUUCAUGCCUCACCUGCUAAAGAUCAACAGCCUCCCAAACACAUUCGUCUACGCCACCAGGACGCUGCUCUUCCUGCAAGACGACGGCACUCUCAAGCCAAUCGCCAUCGAGCUCAGCAUGCCACUACUUAACGACCUCGGCACCAAAGUGGUCGGCGCGGACAGCAAGGUCUACACGCCCCCCUCCAGUGGCUCGGAGUCGGAGAGGGCUGUCCAGGACACCAUCUGGCAGCUGGCCAAGGCCUACGCCGCCGUGAACGAUUCCGCGUGGCACGGCCUCAUCAGCCACUGGCUCCAUACGCACGCCGUCAUCGAGCCAUUCGUGAUCGCCACCAACCGGCAGCUCAGCGUCACGCACCCCAUCCACAAGCUCCUGCAGCCACACUACCGCGACACCAUGACCAUCAACGCCCUGGCACGCCAGGUCCUCAUCAGCGCCGGUGGCUUCUUCGAGAUGACCGUCUGUCCAGGUGAGCACGCACUGAGAAUCUCCUCUGAAGUCUAUAGGAACUGGAACUUCACCGAGCAGGCACUGCCGGUAGACCUGAUCAAGAGGGGUGUGGCGAAGGAGGACACGGAGAGCCCGUGCGGAGUGUCGCUGCACAUCAAGGACUAUCCGUACGCGGUGGAUGGGUUGGCCGUCUGGUCGGCCAUCGAGACUUGGGUUGACGAGUACUGCAGGAUCUACUAUCCCUGUGAUGACGUGCUUCGGUCCGACGUCGAGCUACAGGCAUGGUGGAAGGAGGUGCGUGAGGUCGGCCAUGGCGACAUCAAAGACCAGCCCUGGUGGCCCAAGAUGACAACCUUGAACGAGCUCGUCAGGUCAUGCGCCACCAUCAUCUGGAUCGCCUCUGCGUUGCAUGCCGCCGUCAACUUUGGCCAGUACUCGUACGCCGGCUACCUCCCCAACCGUCCGACGGUGAGCCGACGGCAGAUGCCGGAGCCGGGCACCAAGGAGUACAAGGAGGUGGAGACUGACCCAGACCUGGCCUUCAUCCACACCAUCACGAGCCAGCUCCAAAGCAUCAUUGGAGUGUCCGUGAUCGAGGUCCUGUCCAACCACUCCUCCGACGAAGUCUACCUGGGGCAGCGCGAUGAGCCAAAGUGGACAUCAGAUAUCAAGGCGAAAAAGGCGUUCGAGGACUUCAGCCAGAAGUUGAUCGACAUCGAGAAGAGAAUCAUGAACAUGAACGCGAAUCGUCAACUCAAGAACCGGAAUGGGCCAGCAAAAUUCCCCUACAUGCUGCUCUACCCCAACACAUCUGACAUCGAUGGUGAGAGCGCCACCGGGAUCACGGCCAAGGGCAUCCCCAACAGCAUCUCCAUCUGA
RNAcentral lists this ribosomal RNA (2622 nucleotides) under Triticum aestivum (bread wheat). Its description in RNAcentral is "partial small subunit ribosomal RNA". The record is from RNAcentral. Lineage: Eukaryota; Viridiplantae; Streptophyta; Magnoliopsida; Poales; Poaceae.